Non-coding RNA from Heterocephalus glaber (naked mole-rat), 336 nucleotides. The record is from Rfam. NCBI's taxonomy places the organism in Eukaryota, Metazoa, Chordata, Mammalia, Rodentia, Bathyergidae.
GGAUGUGAGGGCGAUCUGACUGCAACAUCUGUCACCCCACUGAUGGCCAGGGUUGAUUCGGCUGAUGUGGCUGGCCAGGCGGGUGUCCCCUUCCUCCUCACCGCUCCAUGUGCAUCCCUCCUGAAGCUGAAGCUGAAACUGCCAAGCUGCCUGCUAGGUCGGAGAGGACAGACGCGCCCCCACUCCCCCCAACCCAACCCCACCACAGAGGAGGACCGUUUCCUUGGUCAAGGGUAUACCAAUAGCUGCGCUCCCCUGGUAAAACCUCCAAACAAGCUCUCAAGAAAACCUGAUUGGCCCAAGGUGAGUUGACUCUUAAUGCAGUCGACUGUAGUU